CCUACGGGAGGCAGCAGUGGGGAAUUUUGGACAAUGGGCGAAAGCCUGAUCCAGCCAUGCCGCGUGAGUGAAGAAGGCCUUCGGGUUGUAAAGCUCUUUCGGCCGGAACGAAAUCGCACCCGUGAAUAUCGGGUGUGGAUGACGGUACCGGAAGAAGAAGGACCGGCUAACUACGUGCCAGCAGCCGCGGUAAUACGUAGGGUCCGAGCGUUAAUCGGAAUUACUGGGCGUAAAGCGUGCGCAGGCGGUUUUGUAAGCCAGUCGUGAAAUCCCCGGGCUUAACCUGGGAAUGGCGAUUGGGACUGCAAGGCUCGAGUGCGGCAGAGGGGGGUGGAAUUCCACGUGUAGCAGUGAAAUGCGUAGAUAUGUGGGGGAACAUCAAUGGCGAAGGCAGCCCCCUGGGUCGACACUGACGCUCAUGCACGAAAGCGUGGGGAGCAAACAGGAUUAGAUACCCUGGUAGUCCACGCCCUAAACUAUGUCAACUAGUUGUUGGAGGAUGAACUCCUUUAGUAACGCAGCUAACGCGUGAAGUUGACCGCCUGGGGAGUACGGUCGCAAGAUUAAAACUCAAAUGAAUUGACGG
RNAcentral lists this ribosomal RNA (586 nucleotides) under uncultured bacterium. Its description in RNAcentral is "bacterial SSU rRNA". It matches the Rfam family "Bacterial small subunit ribosomal RNA", at positions 338 to 916 of the family's 1533-position model. The record is from RNAcentral.